This is an RNA transcript of Homo sapiens (human), 3417 nucleotides long. It is a transcript of the gene named GUSB pseudogene 11, with no coding region annotated. Lineage: Eukaryota; Metazoa; Chordata; Mammalia; Primates; Hominidae. The transcript has 12 exons. The record is from RefSeq and is marked validated.
CUCAACAAAGAUGGCGCGGACGACCUAAGUCGCGUCACGCUACCGGCGCGUCACGCGACCUUGCCGCAAUGCUCCUCCCGCGCAGCUCUUAUCCCCGUAGACUGCGGCCGAGACGGGGAGGGGGAAGCCUCGCCUGGGGGGCGGCAGUGGCCUGGGCGGCUCUCCGGCUGCUGUUGUAUGGCUGCACGUUGGCGCUACCGGACGGGAUGCUGUAUCCCCGAGAGAGCCCGUCGUGGCAGCGCAAGCAGCUGGACGGCCUCUGAAGCUUCCGCGCCGACUUCUCCGACAACCGACGCCGGGGCUUCGAGGAGCAGAGGUACCGGCGACCGCUGUCGGAGGCGCGGACUCGGGGCAGGGCCAGGAGUCGCCCGGAAGCCCGGCGGUGGGAAUGGGUCAGGCCCCACCGUGGACAUGCCGGUUCCCUCCAGCUUCAACGACAUCGGCCAGGGCUGGCGGCUGCGGCAUUUUGUCAGCUGGUUGUGGUAUGAACGGGAGGUGACCCUGCUGGAGCGAUGGAUCCAGGACCUGUGCACAAGAGUGGUGCUGAGGAUUGGCAGUGCCCACUUCUAUGCCAUCGUGGUAUCCCAAGGGUUACUUUGUCCAGAACACAGACUUUGACUUCUUCAGCUACGCAGGACUGCUGUGGUCUCUGCUUCUAUACACGACACCCCCCACCUACAUCGAUGACGUCACCGUCACCACCGGCGUGAAGCGAGACAGUGGUGAGGGCUUCUGGACUGGAUGGAGGACCUGAAGACGUGAGGUGGAGGCACAGGUAGAAGAGAAGAUUCUCACCAUCGCUGAUUCACACAAAAGCAUUUCUCCAAGUGGUUGCAGAUGACAUGAUUUCCCAAAGUGUUAGAGCUGAAGUGUGUUUCCUUGUGUAUAUAUACUGUGGUUCCUUUAUCCCUUCAUCUGUGGAUAGACAGGUGCAACCGUGUGGUUCCCCACGAUAUGAUUUCAUUGUGGUUUUCUGUCUGAAGAGUAUCCCAGUAUGUACCUGUGGAGCAGCUUCUUUAUCCCUUCAUCUGUGGAUAAGCAGGUCAUGUCCUCCAGGUUUCUGCACGUUGCUGCAGAUGACAUGAUUUCAUGAAUUUCUGCGGCCGAAGAGGAUUCCACUGCGUGCUGCAGUUUCUUUAUCCCUUUAUCUGUGCAUGAACAGUGCAGGCCAAGGCCCCCUGCCCAUGGAGGUGUGCUGCAGACAGCAGCAGCAGCAGCAGCAGCAGCAGCAGCAGCAGCAGAGGCCUGGCUUCCUGAGGAAUUGCUGGCCGGUUUGAGGAAGGAAGGAAGUCCCACCUACCAUGAUCACCCUCCAGCCUGGAGGAAGCUCCAUGCCAGCAGCAUGGACCAGCAUGGGAGCCAGAGCCCUGCUAAUGCUGCAGCUCAUCACCCCUGCUCAGCAGCCCAGCAGCCCAGCAGCCAUUGCCACAUCCCAUUUCCAGGGCCUCCUGCCCCCAUGCCCCCACGUGCCCAUGGACCGACACACCACUCUUCCUGUUGGCCCAAGGUAGGCAUGGAGGGAAUUUUUCAAGUCCACUUUUAGUAGGUAAGUCAAAACCAAACAAAAUAACCACUCGACACCUGGUCCAAUGCCCUUCCAAACUCACUCUUUUCUCUGACCCUUAAACACUUGUCCUGCAUCUCCCAGACUCCACUGUACCUUGAUCAGUAGGUCCCUCUUCACUGCAGUGUCUUUUUUGCAGAGUUCUUUUAGCUCUUUCAUGCUUUUGCUAUGGGCAGAGGAAAGAAAGAAGGGUAAAUUUGGGAAUCAGGGGAGAUUUGUGAGUUCCAGUCCCUUUUGUUUGAAAACCCAGUGAAUCCCAGCUUACUGGGUGAGAGUUUUCAGUGGAGUCCUCUGAUCACAGGGGCUCCAGAGGACCAGGGUGGGACCUCUCAUGCUCCUCCCCUGGGCCCCAUCUCCACUUCACAUGAGCCACUGCGUGUUUACAGUUAGCUUUCAGCUGGACACAGAGUUCCACUGCUGGGUACAAACACCUGAAAGCCUCCAGUUGGCUCCAGUCUGUUCCUGAUGGUUAAAAAACCUUAGUCCUGAGUUGGAAAUCCUUGCCUAGGAGUCCAGGGCAGCUUAGUGACCACAGCCACCGGCCCAUCCCUGCCUCCAGUGUCCCUGGACUCCAAGAACCUUUCAGAGUCAUUGAGGGCACAUGGGGGGAGACCUGUGAGUCCCUAGGUCAACCCUGAUGCUGCCAUGGAGAGAGCCCUCCUCACCUGGACACUCCUGCCCACGUCUUGUGUAGCUGACCUAUUGGGUUGCUGCACAGAGCAGAGACGAUGACGUGCACCGAGGAGAAGUUGUUGAGGCUUAGGCACUCCUGGAGAGGGAAGAAUGAGCUGUGCGGUUCAGAGUUGGAGCUUGGCCCACUACAGCCUCAGCCCCCUCUGCUGAGAUCUCCCCUCCUGGAUGAAGCAGAGGCCUGGGGAGCCUCAGGAGGGCAGACCUGGGGCCGAGUGGAUGUCACUCAUCUAGGAGGAUUUUAGUUCAACCCAAGGAAGACCCCAGGUCGGAAGUGAGCAGCCACCACUGGGCCGUGGGAGUCAAGUCUGGAGAAACAGCUACGGCCAUCCCAGCCCUGGCCAAGGGGAAAAUGCCGGAAGACUCCAGGGUGGGAGGAAGCGCGUCCCAAGGCCCAGGAUCUGCGAGGCGACUUGGGGAAAACGCAGGACCUGCUGAAGCUCACACCCGUGGACCACCCAGACUGCCUGCCGCUACAGGAUGCCCUCCGCAUCUCCCAGGACUUCUUUCCGGCAUCAGUGUGGACAUUGACCCCACUGGACUGCAGUCACAGUGGACUCCCAAGGGGCAGGAUCCACCUCUGAUGUUCAGUGAAGACUACCAGAAAAGUCUGCUAGAGCAGUACCAUCUGGGUCUGGAUCAAAAACUCAGAAAAUACGUGGUUGGAGAGCUCAUCUGGAAUUUUGCCGAUUUCAUGACUAACCAGUGUCAGCCCAAGACUACCCCGUCGGUCAUUCUGUUCCUGCCGUCCUGUGAGGAGCCCCAAGCCAACAAGGCCACACUGGUGUGUCUCAUGAAUAACUUUAUCCGGGAAUCUUGAUGGUGACCUGGAAGGCAGAUGGUACCCUCAUCACCCAGAGCGUGGAGAAGACCACGCCCUCCAAACAGAGCAACAACAAGUACGUGGCCAGCAGCUACCUGAGCCUGACGCCCGAGCAGUGGAGGUCCCGCAGAAGCUACAGCUGCCAGGUUAUGCAAGAAGGGAGCACCGUGGAGAAGUCAGUGGCCCCUGCAGAAUGUUCAUAGGUUCCAGCCCCCACCCCACCCACAGGGGCCUGGAGCUGCAGGAUCCCAGGGGAGGGGUCUCUCUCUGCAUCCCAAGCCAUUCAGCCCUUCUCGCUGUACCCAGUAAACCCUCAAUAAAUAUCUUUGUCAGCCAGAAA